UACGGGAGGCAGCAGUGGGGAAUAUUGCACAAUGGGCGCAAGCCUGAUGCAGCCAUGCCGCGUGUAUGAAGAAGGCCUUCGGGUUGUAAAGUACUUUCAGUCGUGAGGAAGGUGUUAAGGUUAAUAACCUUAGCAAUUGACGUUAGCGACAGAAGAAGCACCGGCUAACUCCGUGCCAGCAGCCGCGGUAAUACGGAGGGUGCGAGCGUUAAUCGGAAUUACUGGGCGUAAAGGGCACGCAGGCGGUUAAUUAAGUUGGAUGUGAAAUCCCCGGGCUUAACCUGGGAAUGGCAUUCAAGACUGGUUAGCUAGAGUCUUGUAGAGGGGGUAGAAUUCCAUGUGUGGCGGUGAAAUGCGUAGAGAUGUGGAGGAAUACCGGUGGCGAAGGCGGCCCCUGGACAAAGACUGACGCUCAUGUGCGAAAGCGUGGGGAGCAAACAGGAUUAGAUACC
Molecule: ribosomal RNA, 452 nt
Filed under: uncultured bacterium
Lineage: Bacteria
Description: bacterial SSU rRNA
Rfam family: Bacterial small subunit ribosomal RNA
Source: RNAcentral